GAUGAACGCUGGCGGCGUGCCUAAUACAUGCAAGUCGAGCGAACAGACGAGGAGCUUGCUCCUCUGACGUUAGCGGCGGACGGGUGAGUAACACGUGGAUAACCUACCUAUAAGACUGGGAUAACUUCGGGAAACCGGAGCUAAUACCGGAUAAUAUAUUGAACCGCAUGGUUCAAUAGUGAAAGACGGUUUUGCUGUCACUUAUAGAUGGAUCCGCGCCGCAUUAGCUAGUUGGUAAGGUAACGGCUUACCAAGGCGACGAUGCGUAGCCGACCUGAGAGGGUGUUCGGCCACACUGGAACUGAGCCACGGUCCAGGCUCCUACGGGAGGCAGCAGUAGGGAAUCUUCCGCAAUGGGCGAAAGCCUGACGGAGCAACGCCGCGUGAGUGAUGAAGGUCUUCGGAUCGUAAAACUCUGUUAUUAGGGAAGAACAAAUGUGUAAGUAACUAUGCACGUCUUGACGGUACCUAAUCAGAAAGCCACGGCUAACUACGUG
RNAcentral lists this ribosomal RNA (497 nucleotides) under uncultured bacterium. Its description in RNAcentral is "partial 16S ribosomal RNA". It matches the Rfam family "Bacterial small subunit ribosomal RNA", at positions 28 to 507 of the family's 1533-position model. The record is from RNAcentral.